GACUUGCAUUGUCUAAAUUUUCAAUGUUUGUGCAUUCCCGCUGGCGUGUCGCCGCCUGGUGCUCUACGUUUUAUUAGAUUCUGAGGCAAACUAAAGCAAAGAUUACAAUUGGCUUUGGUGGCCCUCAGUACAUAUUGCAUCUAGAACGAGUACGAUAAACGUGUAAACGACGAAAGAAAAAACACAGCCGUGUCAUCACGUCGAGUCAACGAGAAAAAACGAAAGGACUACGAUCAUUCCUCCGGGUUCGUGCCCGAUACUUUUAUGAUGGGAGCUGACCGGAAUCCUACCUGAAAAAGAAUUUUCAAGAGGUUAAAUUUGGUAGCCGCUUCAAUUUGGCUGCUGCUAAAAGUUAAUUUGAGGUUAUGUGACUGCAAUAAUUAUUCUAAUCAUUAUUAUCAGUUAUCAAGUUACAAGAUAAUAAAUAAAGGGUAUAUUGAAGAACAA
Long non-coding RNA from Chelonus insularis, 447 nucleotides. RefSeq lists it as uncharacterized. The transcript is spliced from 2 exons. NCBI's taxonomy places the organism in Eukaryota, Metazoa, Arthropoda, Insecta, Hymenoptera, Braconidae. The record is from RefSeq and is a predicted model, not a curated record.